RNAcentral lists this long non-coding RNA (350 nucleotides) under Oryza brachyantha (malo sina). Its description in RNAcentral is "long non-coding RNA (OBRA_LNC002622)". Lineage: Eukaryota; Viridiplantae; Streptophyta; Magnoliopsida; Poales; Poaceae. The record is from RNAcentral.
AUGCAGCAAAUGUAGAAUUCAACACUGCCUGGCAACAGUUUCGAAUUUGUUCUCCCAAAAUGCUUCUGAUUAGUGAUCUGAAGGCACGUGUGAAAAAUGAUAAGGAUUUCACAGUUUGUGUUAUCUUCCCAGUGCCACUCAUCCCAAUUUUGAUGCACACCUCAGGACGCAACGCUGGAAAAAUGCAUGGCAAGGAAACCACUGUUUGAUACAUGAAAUACAAACUACCAAUCCAAAUGAAACGUUCCAUACAGAGUUAUGUAUACAUAGAGCUAGGAGGUACUAGAAUGCAGUCCUACCAGUAUAGUUGUAAAAAGAUAUCAUAUCAAAUACUAAUUAAGGGGAGCAUU